Molecule: ribosomal RNA, 1428 nt
Filed under: Scinax sp. KAV34
Lineage: Eukaryota; Metazoa; Chordata; Amphibia; Anura; Hylidae
Description: partial 16S large subunit ribosomal RNA
Rfam family: Bacterial large subunit ribosomal RNA
Source: RNAcentral
GCUAAAAACCUAGCUCUAUUUACACUAAUGAAAUUCCCCCCCCCCACUUACACCUUAAAACUAAAACAUUUAAAUAAUUUAGUAGAGGAGAUUGAAAAAUUUAUGGAAGCAAUAUAAUUAGUACCGUAAGGGAAAGAUGAAAUAUGAAUGAAAAAUCUUCAAGCAAAACAAAGUAGAGCUCUACCCUCGUACCUUUUGCAUCAUGGUUCAAUUAGUUCAACCAAGCAAAAAGCAUUAUAGUUUGACACCCCGAAACUAGGCGAGCUACUUCGAGGCAGCUUUAAGAGCCAACCCGUCUCUGUGACAAAAGAGUGGGAAGACCACUAAGUAGCGGCGAUAAACCAACCGAGCCUAGUGAUAGCUGGUUACUCAAGAAAAGGAUUUAAGUCCAACCUAAAGUCUUCGCCUUACAUCAAAAACAUGACUUUAGAGCAAUUCAAAUAAGGUACAGCCUAUUUGAAACAGGAUACAACCUCGUUUGACGGCUAAAAUUUGUUCUUUGACUUCAAGUUGGCCUAAAAGCAGCCACCUUUUAAAAAGCGUCAUAGCUUAGUCUUAAUAUAAUUUAAUUCCACACCCAUAUUUUAACCCUCUUUCAGUACUGAGUAAUUCUAUACUUUUAUAGAAUAUUUUAUGUUGAAACUAGUAACAAGAAGUCAGACCUUCUCUUAAAUGCAAGCAUAAAUCAGAAAGGACUAACCACUGAUAAUUAACGUCAAUGAUCACCAAUCAGCAACCUCCAAAGAAAAAUCUAAUUCCACCCACGUUAACCUGACACAAGAGCAUUUCAAGAAAGAUUAAAAGAAAGAGAAGGAACUCGGCAAAUAUUAACCCCGCCUGUUUACCAAAAACAUCGCCUCUUGAAUAAAAAUAAGAGGUCCAGCCUGCCCAGUGACUAUAGUUCAACGGCCGCGGUAUCCUAACCGUGCGAAGGUAGCGUAAUCACUUGUUCUUUAAAUGAGGACUAGUAUGAACGGCACCACGAGGGUUAUACUGUCUCCUCUUUCUAAUCAGUGAAACUAAUCUCCCCGUGAAGAAGCGGGGAUAAAACUAUAAGACGAGAAGACCCUAUGGAGCUUUAAAUUUCUCCUUAAACGCUUAAUCACUCAAAAGUUUAAAACUUCACCACAUGAAUCCUCGCGUUGUAAGGAUAACUUUUAGGUUGGGGUGACCACGGAGUAUAAAACAACCUCCAUGCUGAACAGGCCUCCAAGCCUUGAACCAAGGACCACAACCCGCCGCACUAGUACACUAACACCUAUUGAUCCAAUGCAUUUUGAUCAACGAACCAAGUUACCCUAGGGAUAACAGCGCAAUCUACUUCAAGAGUUCCUAUCGACAAGUGGGUUUACGACCUCGAUGUUGGAUCAGGGUAUCCCAGUGGUGCAGCCGCUACUAAUGGUUCGUUUGUUCAACGAUUAAAACCCU